AUUGAACGCUGGCGGAAUGCUUUACACAUGCAAGUCGAACGGCAGCACGGACUUCGGUCUGGUGGCGAGUGGCGAACGGGUGAGUAAUGUAUCGGAACGUGCCCAGUCGUGGGGGAUAACGUAGUGAAAAUUACGCUAAUACCGCAUACGAUCUAUGGAUGAAAGCGGGGGAUCGCAAGACCUCGCGCGAUUGGAGCGGCCGAUAUCAGAUUAGGUAGUUGGUGGGGUAAAGGCCCACCAAGCCAACGAUCUGUAGCUGGUCUGAGAGGACGACCAGCCACACUGGAAAUGAGACACUGUCCAGACUCCUACGGGAGGCAGCAGUGGGGGAUUUUGGACAAUGGGCGAAAGCCUGAUCCAGCCAUUCCGCGUGCAGGAUGAAGGCCCUCGGGUUGUAAACUGCUUUUGUACAGAACGAAAAGGUUUCUACUAAUACUAGGAGCUCAUGACGGUACUGUAAGAAUAAGCACCGGCUAACUACGUGCCAGCCGCCGCAGUAA
Molecule: ribosomal RNA, 500 nt
Filed under: uncultured bacterium
Lineage: Bacteria
Description: partial 16S ribosomal RNA
Rfam family: Bacterial small subunit ribosomal RNA
Source: RNAcentral